This 310-nucleotide ribosomal RNA is filed under the name uncultured bacterium. Its description in RNAcentral is "bacterial SSU rRNA". It matches the Rfam family "Bacterial small subunit ribosomal RNA", at positions 1087 to 1397 of the family's 1533-position model. The record is from RNAcentral.
CCAUAACGAGCGCAACCCUUACCCUUAUUUGCCAGCGAUUCGGUCGGGAACUAUAAGGGGACUGCCGGUGAUAAACCGGAGGAAGGUGAGGACGACGUCAAGUCAUCAUGGCCCUUACGUGUAGGGCUACACACGUGCUACAAUGGGGAGUACAGAUAGACGCUAAAGCGCGAGCUGGUGCUAAUCUCAUAAAACUCUUCGUAGUCCGGAUUGCAGUCUGCAACUCGACUGCAUGAAGUCGGAAUCGCUAGUAAUCGCGAAUCAGCAUGUCGCGGUGAAUACGUUCUCGGGUCUUGUACACACCGCCCGU